This 491-nucleotide ribosomal RNA is filed under the name uncultured bacterium. RNAcentral describes it as "partial 16S ribosomal RNA". It matches the Rfam family "Bacterial small subunit ribosomal RNA", at positions 28 to 507 of the family's 1533-position model. The record is from RNAcentral.
GAUGAACGCUAGCUACAGGCUUAACACAUGCAAGUCGAGGGGAAACGAUGAGAGAGCUUGCUCUCUUAGUCGUCGACCGGCGCACGGGUGAGUAACGCGUAUCCAACCUGCCUCUGACCAAGGGAUAACCCGUCGAAAGUCGGACUAAUACCUUAUGCAGUCGUCGGAAGUCAUCUGAUGACGACGAAAGAUUUCAUCGGUGAGAGAUGGGGAUGCGUCUGAUUAGCUUGUUGGCGGGGUAACGGCCCACCAAGGCGACGAUCAGUAGGGGUUCUGAGAGGAAGGUCCCCCACAUUGGAACUGAGACACGGUCCAAACUCCUACGGGAGGCAGCAGUGAGGAAUAUGGGUCAAUGGGCGUAAGCCUGAACCAGCCAAGUAGCGUGCAGGAUGACGGCCCUAUGGGUUGUAAACUGCUUUUAUGCGGGGAUAAAGUGAGGGACGUGUCCUUCAUUGCAGGUACCGCAUGAAUAAGGACCGGCUAAUUCCGUG